UAGUGGCGAACGGGUGAGUAACACGUGGGCAAUCUGCCCUUCACUCUGGGACAAGCCCUGGAAACGGGGUCUAAUACCGGAUAACACUGCGGAUCGCAUGGUCUGUGGUUAAAAGCUCCGGCGGUGAAGGAUGAGCCCGCGGCCUAUCAGCUUGUUGGUGAGGUAGUGGCUCACCAAGGCGACGACGGGUAGCCGGCCUGAGAGGGCGACCGGCCACACUGGGACUGAGACACGGCCCAGACUCCUACGGGAGGCAGCAGUGGGGAAUAUUGCACAAUGGGCGAAAGCCUGAUGCAGCGACGCCGCGUGAGGGAUGACGGCCUUCGGGUUGUAAACCUCUUUCAGCAGGGAAGAAGCGAAAGUGACGGUACCUGCAGAAGAAGCGCCGGCUAACUACGUGCCAGCAGCCGCGGUAAUACGUAGGGCGCAAGCGUUGUCCGGAAUUAUUGGGCGUAAAGAGCUCGUAGGCGGCUUGUCACGUCGAUUGUGAAAGCCCGAGGCUUAACCUCGGGUCUGCAGUCGAUACGGGCUAGCUAGAGUGUGGUAGGGGGAGAUCGGAAUUCCU
This 565-nucleotide ribosomal RNA is filed under the name Streptomyces sp. 387C01. RNAcentral's name for it is "bacterial SSU rRNA". It matches the Rfam family "Bacterial small subunit ribosomal RNA", at positions 93 to 671 of the family's 1533-position model. The record is from RNAcentral. Lineage: Bacteria; Bacillati; Actinomycetota; Actinomycetes; Kitasatosporales; Streptomycetaceae.